Bombus terrestris (buff-tailed bumblebee) is the source of this 744-nucleotide long non-coding RNA. RefSeq lists it as uncharacterized. Lineage: Eukaryota; Metazoa; Arthropoda; Insecta; Hymenoptera; Apidae. The transcript is spliced from 3 exons. The record is from RefSeq and is a predicted model, not a curated record.
AUUGAUAUAUACGCUAUUAUACGCGCGUAUAAACCGUUGAUUAUGCUAAUAAGAAUUCCAUAGAAUAUGUAAUUUGAUAUGCUGGAAUCCCUCGCUUCUGUUCGCCUUGUUAUUAUUAGGUUGUCCGAAAAAUGUCUUUCUUUCGCAAACGUGUUUUUUACAACAAUGCAAACUUCAUACAAAUGUGAAACCAAGUCUGUGAAAUGUCGCGAUGUUUAUCUCAACAGAACAAAAUGGAUCGUACGUAAUUCGGCAAAAUAAUAUAAAAGAAAAAACGUUGUGUGAUUAUUAUUUCCUCAUAAAACGAAAGAAACUUUUCGAACAAUCUAAUACGUAGCGAAUAUUCGAGCAGAGAUAUAAAUUGUAAACGAUAACGUUAUCGCCAUUGGCCUUUGAGAGACUAAAAAACAAAGGAUCAAAACUGUAUUUAUCAGAAGACCAUCCUGCUCGAGUCACCUGUCCGGAUCUAUAAUUUCAAUAAGGUGUAAGUGAUACGAAAAGUACGAUCGGGAUUGAAGAGGCCAUAAAGGCGUAAAUCUCGCAGUGAUCGGUAGUCAAUCUUCGGUAGUAUGCAAAUAUGGUGCACGGUUAAGUGCAUGACGGUGCAAAUUCACGUAGAGGUCAACGUGUCUCGGCGUCACUUCAUUGCUGAAACCAGCAGAAUUUAUUACGAUUGAAUUUAAUAUUUACUCUACUAACUUCGAAGCACUGGUUCAACCUAUCGCAACGAACACCGACACUGCG